GCCAAUUUGGCUCAGUUGGUAGAGCAACGCAUUCGUAAUGCGUAGGUCGCCGGUUCGAGUCCGGCAAUUGGCU
Molecule: transfer RNA, 73 nt
Filed under: Odoribacter sp.
Lineage: Bacteria; Pseudomonadati; Bacteroidota; Bacteroidia; Bacteroidales; Odoribacteraceae
Description: tRNA-Thr
Rfam family: tRNA
About the family: Transfer RNA (tRNA) molecules are approximately 80 nucleotides in length. Their secondary structure includes four short double-helical elements and three loops (D, anti-codon, and T loops).
Source: RNAcentral